UAACCUUACGUUGAAUUUUGUUGGAUACUGUACACGGUACAAAUUUUGAAAAUCUCCGGGUUCCCAAACGCCACCUUUGUUGAUUGUGAGAUCAGAUGAGGAAUGUCCUGAGACGUUGGCGCAUCAUGUGUUGGUGAAGGUUAGAGGAGAGGAAGAUCUCUGAGUAAGAAGAAACACCACAAUAGAAAAAUCAGUUGUCUCCACAAAACGCUCGGACUCGUAUAGCCGGUCCUUCUCUCUGCGUUCUCCCUUGGGCUCCCACGUCCGCCUAACAAGCCGCCAUUCUCCCCUCCGUCUGGAGAGAAAGAGAGAUUCACCUCUCUUCCCAGGGCCGCCAGACGCAAGAAGAACUUCUAACGGAGUUGUGGAUGAAAAGAGCUGACAGUAGGAUGUUGACUUGUAGCUGUUUAGAUGACACCGGAUGAAAAUGCCCUUAUUACUCUAAAGAAAGGUAGCAAGCUUAUCAAGUAUAGCCGGAAAGGAAAACCCAAGAUCCGUUCUUUCAGACUUUCUAGUGACGAAACAGCAUUAAUUUGGUAUUCUCACAAAAAGGAAAAGUUCCUCAGACUGUCCUCUGUCUCUAAAGUCAUUCCUGGGCAGAGAACUGCUGUUUUUAGGAGGUUUCUACGCCCUGAGAAGGACUAUCUAUCAUUUUCACUCAUAUACAAGAACGGCCAACGUUCCCUUGAUCUGGUUUGCAAGGAUCAAGUUGAAGUUGAAGUUUGGUUUUCAGCACUCGAGGCAUUAAUAAGUUCGUGCCAUAGAAAUUCUUCAGUUGAUGAACACAAGGAUAGAGUAUCAUUUUCUGAUGAUGUAUCAUAUUAUCGAGAUGGACAUCCGUAUGAUUCAACACUAGAUAUUGCUUCAAGUAUAUCACGUAGUUUUAACACAGCAGAUUAUUGCCGAGGCAGUUCUUUUAGUUUCAGAAGAUCAGAUGCUGGAUCUGAUCGUGCAAAUAUGAUAAGAACUAGUGGUGCAGAUAGUACUCGACUUAGUAUUUCCAGUGCCCCUAGCUCUUCCAGUCAGGGUUCUGGAACAGAUGACAUAGAAUCCCUUGGUGAUGUCUAUGUAUGGGGUGAAGUUUGGACUGAUGCGGCCCCAUCAGAUGGACACACAAGCUCGUCUUGCUCAAAAGUAGACGUUUUGAUCCCGAAGCCUUUAGAAUCAGAUGUCGUCUUAGAUGUUAAUCAGAUAGUAUGUGGUUCAAGGCAUGUUGCUCUUACUACCAGGCAAGGGGAGGUGUUUACAUGGGGCGAGGAACUUGGUGGGCGCCUUGGUCAUGGAACUGAUACAGAUAUUAGUCGUCCCAAGCUUGUUGAGUCACUAUCCGUGACCAUAGUUGAUUUUAUUUCAUGCGGAGAGUUCCAUACCUGUGCUAUAUCUGCUUCUGGUGAUCUGUUCAACUGGGGGGAUGGCUCUUACCGUGCUGGAUUGCUUGGAUACGACACUGGGGCUAGCCAUUGGCUUCCAAAGCGUGUCUCAGGGCCCUUGGAGGGGCUUCAGGUACUGUCUGUUGCAUGUGGCUCGUGGCAUUCAGCUCUGAUCACAUCAACUGGAAGACUUUACACAUUUGGUGACGGAAAAUUCGGUGCUCUUGGGCAUGGAAACCGUGAAAGCGCUGCGUACCCAAAAGAAGUGGAAGCCUUGAAUGGAUUUAGAACUGUCAAAGUUGCAUGCGGAGUCUGGCAUUCUGCAGCAAUUGUGGAGGCCUCUGUUCAGACAGGCAUGAAUGUGGUGUCUAAGAAGCUGUAUACGUGGGGUGAUGGAGAUAAGAAUCGUUUAGGCCAAGGGGACAAAGAAGCUAGGCUGAUUCCUACCUGUCUUCAAGCUCUUCUUGAGCACAAUUUUCAUCAGCUGGGAUGUGGACAGAACAUGACUGUUGCCCUUGCUACAUCCGGUCAUGUGUAUACCAUGGGUAGUUCUGACAAUGGUCAGCUCGGAAAUCCAAAAUCUGAUGGUAAACAUCCUUGCCUUGUCAAAGACAAACUAGCUAACGAGUUGGUUGAGGAGAUCUCAUGUGGAGCCGCCCAUGUUGCAGUUCUAACGUCAAGAAGCGAAGUAUACACGUGGGGACUGGGUGCCAAUGGAAGACUUGGUCAUGGUGACCUCAACGACAAGAAGACACCAACUAUUGUCGAAGCACUUAAAGAUCGGCAUGUCAAAAGUAUAUCAUGCGGCUCAAACUUCACAACAUGUAUCUGCAUACAUAGGUGGGUGUCAGGUGCAGAUCAGUCUGUUUGCACAGGUUGUAGGCAGGCAUUUGGUUUCACGAGGAAGAGACAUAAUUGCUACAACUGUGGGCUAGUACACUGCCAUGCUUGCAGUUCAAGAAAAGUGCUCAAGGCUGCUCUGGCACCAACUCCUGGCAAGCCGCAUCGUGUAUGUGAUUCAUGUUUCCUGAAACUGAAGAAUGCAGACACCAGCAGCAGCAAUGCGAACAGAAGAAAUGCCGCUACUCGUCGCUCUACGGACAGCAGAGAAAAACCAGAAAUAAGGCCUCCCAGGCUUGUGGCAACACCGUCAGCAGAGCCAGGCAAGUACAUGGAGGUAAAAGCAUCUAAGAGCGAUAUGAAACCUGCAGAUUCGAUCAUGAAGGCAUCACAAGCUUCGGCUCUACUGCAGUUCAAAGAUCUUGGUUUUGGUGCCCAAUUUGGUGGGCUUCAGCCUAUGGGAAUGCCACCGGCAUUAGCUAUGUCACCUGCGAUACCGGCAUUUUCUUUGGCACCUCCAUCUCCAUAUACAAAGAAAAUGAAAUCACCUCCUACUUCUGCUAUCCCCCAGAGCUCUAAAGUCGAUGUUGAUCACUUGCAGAAGUCAAAUGACUUGCUGAAUCAGGAAGUUCUGAAAUUGCAAUCUCAGGUUGAGGAUUUGAAACAAAAGUGCGAAGCACAGCACGAGCAGCUUCAGAAAUCAGAUAAAAAAGCUAAGUCAGUUGCCUCUAUGGCCACUGAAGAAUCCUCGAAACGUAAUGCUGCCGUGGAGUUUGUUAAAUUUCUUGAUAAUGAGCUCAAGGGUAUUGCAGAUAAACUUCCUGUUGACGUUGCCGACAGCUUGAAAGCUUUGCAAAUGCGAACACAGUCACUACUGAGGGAACAAUCAGGUCACCCCUUAGAGCUCGUGAAUCCAAUGGAACGUGAUCAUCUUCACCUGUCCAGUGGUGGAAGUGGAAGAUAUGAUUUGGUCACUCAUAAGUCAGGAGGUGUAGGUUACCUGACAAUGUCUCAAGAUGGCAGUUCUGCCAGUGGCUCAGCCAUGUCCAUCACGAGUGAAUCCCCAUCCCAUCGUUUCAUGGAAAACAGUUCAAAGGCCCAUGGUGAUUUUGCCCCGAAGCAGGGUACCCAUGGAGAGGUCCAGUUAAUUGAGCAGUUUGAACCUGGCGUAUAUGUGACACUUAUCCAACUAAAGGACGGUACCAAAGUAUUCAAGCGGGUCCGAUUCAGCAAGAGGAGAUUCGCAGAGAAUCAGGCUGAAGAAUGGUGGAGGGAAAACCAAGAGCGGGUCUUCAAGAAAUACAGCCACCCAACUCAUGCACCACAUGGAAACACAACUUCUCACGAGGAAGAGCAUCAUUCAUGAUCUCCAAAUCAGGUCCACACAGGUCGUCAUGUAGGAGGUUUAUCACGCGAAAUAGGACAUGGCGAAGAACAAUAACGAUCAAACAGGAGAAGUGGACCGGAGACGACGAUGAAGCAAGGAGGUGAGACGAGGAACCAUAGCUGGACGACGACGAUGUGGUAUGCUGGUCGUGGUCACAAUGGAGAUCUAGACGACAAGUUGGAGUCACGGUAGUGCUGCGGGUUGAGGUUGUCACCUUCCAGGACGGUGGUCUGAGGUCGCGAUAGUGGAUGGCAAGUCGUGGUUGUUGCAGCAAUCGGGUCGAGGCCAUGCCAACCUCCAAGACGGUGGUUCGAGAUCGCGGCUCUAGACAACGUCGGGGUCACAACAACGCUAAGGGUCGAGGUCACAUCGUCCUCCUGGCCAGUGGUCCGAGGUUACGGUGGAGCUUUGUCGCAGUAGGUACUCGAGGUCGUGGGCUCAUAGUGGCUUUGAUGAAUUCGCUGAUGCGCUGUUGGGGGAGGAAAAGACAGGCGGAUGUAGAUGGAGGAAAUGAGCGAAAAAUUGUUUGUGCUAUGUUUUUUGUUGUAGAAAUGGCGCACAAGUGUAUUUCGGGAGUAGCUCUAGGUUCCUAAACGUAGGGAGAAAAUUGGGUUGGGUAG
Molecule: RNA transcript, 4217 nt
Organism: Zea mays
Lineage: Eukaryota; Viridiplantae; Streptophyta; Magnoliopsida; Poales; Poaceae
Gene name: putative regulator of chromosome condensation (RCC1) family protein
Exons: 11
Source: RefSeq, marked validated